This 520-nucleotide ribosomal RNA is filed under the name uncultured Diversispora. RNAcentral's name for it is "SSU rRNA". It matches the Rfam family "Eukaryotic small subunit ribosomal RNA", at positions 569 to 1090 of the family's 1831-position model. Lineage: Eukaryota; Fungi; Glomeromycota; Glomeromycetes; Diversisporales; Diversisporaceae. The record is from RNAcentral.
AGCAGCCGCGGUAAUUCCAGCUCCAAUAGCGUAUAUUAAAGUUGUUGCAGUUAAAAAGCUCGUAGUUGAACUUCGGGGUUUACCCAUUGGUCAGGCUUAAUUGUCUGUACUGGUGAGAUAAAUCUCUACCUUCUGAGGAACUUUCAUGUCAUUAAUUUGGUGUGAUUGGAAAUCAGGACUGUUACUUUGAAAAAAUUGAGUGUUUAAAGCAGGCUAACGUCUGAAUACAUUAGCAUGGAAUAAUGAAAUAGGACGGACUGAUUCUAUUUCGUUGGUUUCUAGGAUCACCGUAAUGAUUAAUAGGGAUAGUUGGGGGCAUUAGUAUUCAAUUGUCAGAGGUGAAAUUCUUGGAUUUUAUGAAGCUAACUACUGCGAAAGCAUUUGCCAAGGAUGUUUUCAUUAAUCAAGAACGAAAGUUAGGGGAUCGAAGACGAUCAGAUACCGUCGUAGUCUUAACCAUAAACUAUGCCGACUAGGGAUCGGACGAAGUUAAUUUUUAAUGUACGCGUUCGGCACCGUU